RNAcentral lists this ribosomal RNA (292 nucleotides) under uncultured bacterium. RNAcentral's name for it is "partial 16S ribosomal RNA". It matches the Rfam family "Bacterial small subunit ribosomal RNA", at positions 505 to 796 of the family's 1533-position model. The record is from RNAcentral.
GUGCCAGCCGCCGCGGUAAUACGUAGGGUGCAAGCGUUGUUCGGAAUCACUGGGCGUAAAGAGAGCGUAGGCGGGAUCGUAAGUUAGAAGUUUAAUGCAUGGGCUUAACCCAUGACCUGCUUUUAAUACUGCGGUUCUUGAGUAUGGGAGAGGGCGAUGGAAUUCCAGGUGUAGCGGUGGAAUGCGUAGAUAUCUGGAAGAACACCAGUAGCGAAGGCGGUCGCCUGGCCCAAUACUGACGCUGAGGCUCGAAAGCUAGGGGAGCAAACAGGAUUAGAAACCCCUGUAGUCC